Molecule: long non-coding RNA, 917 nt
Organism: Prunus avium (sweet cherry)
Lineage: Eukaryota; Viridiplantae; Streptophyta; Magnoliopsida; Rosales; Rosaceae
Source: RefSeq, a predicted model, not a curated record
AUCCCAGACCUAAAGAAAAACCAGAGACCUCUGCCCCCCUCCUCCCCCUCCUCUCUCUCUCUCUCUCUCUCUCUCUCUCUCUUUCUCUCUCUCUCUUCUUCGCAUGGAUAUGGUUUUGCUUGCCUCUCGUGGACCACUAGCAGUUGAAGCUGCCAGCAUGAUCUAAACUUCCCUCUUGGCCAGUCGAGGAAAGAUCAGAUCAUGUGGUAGCUUCACCUGUUGACGGGAUCACGAAAACGAACUUUACUUUCACAAUUCUAGCCCCUACACUGUCAGGCUAGUCUCUUUAUGUGUUUUUUCUCAUUUGGGCAGUCCUUUAUUUUGCUCUAAUUUACUUUCAUUUGAGUACCAUGGUACUGUUCCAUCGUUUUUUUUCCCUCUUCCCCUGUCCUUUUUCUUUUUCCUCAGUAUUAUUUGGCUUCCUGUUGAGCCUCCACUUGUAGGAUCUAACUUUGUGCAGAACUUUAUUUUGCAAAAGAAAGUCUUGACUUGACCAAUGAGAAUGAUCUUGAGCUAUGGAAGUAUGAGGGCAUGCUGGGGAAUCUUUCCGACCCAAAAAUGUUAGGGUUUCGAGUGACAGAAUUUCUCCAACCCAAAAAUGUCUGGUGCUUUUUAGAUUCCAAUCUUAUCUUAUCCCUAAUAAGUCCUUAUUCUGCAUAAUAAAGCCUUUGAUUGCAUUGCCUUUUAAUUUAGUUUAAUGUAUUGGUUUUGUUCAAGAACAAUUUAAAUGGUGACAUCUGUAAAAGAAUGCAUAACAAGGGGGGAAAAGCACUUGAAUCUCUGUGCAUGGCUGGCUGCAACUGCAAGUACUAUUGUAAAGCUUCAACUGUCCAUCAUGUAUAUACUUUUAAUAAGUCUCUUGGAUAUCUUUGUUUAAUCUUUUCAAUAAUUAAAAUGCUUGUGAAAUUUCUGCUCUA